ACAGAAUAUUGCCUUUAUCUCCAAAAGUUUUUGAAUAAAUACACAUGUAAUGUUUAAAACUAUGCAUAUUUAUUUUAUUUAGAUUAUAGUGUAAAGAAUGAAUAUUUAAACACGGCUCGCGACAUGAUUGGAAAAAUAAUAGAAUGAUAACGCAAAUAAUCGAAAUGACGAUAUAUCUACAAUAAUGAUAUAACAAAUAAGCAAUGGCAAUAAUCAAUUAAAUCUAAUGUUAAUUAAACAAUAAUAAUAAUAAUAAAAGAAAGUGGAAUAUGCAUGAUUAAAAAGAUAAAUAUGUAUGACAUGAAAGUAC
RNAcentral lists this long non-coding RNA (310 nucleotides) under Gossypium barbadense (sea-island cotton). RNAcentral describes it as "long non-coding RNA (GBAR_LNC021119)". Lineage: Eukaryota; Viridiplantae; Streptophyta; Magnoliopsida; Malvales; Malvaceae. The record is from RNAcentral.